UACGGGGGGGGCAAGCGUUGUUCGGAAUUACUGGGCGUAAAGGGCUCGUAGGUGGCCAACUAAGUCAUACGUGAAAUCCCUCGGCUUAACCGGGGAACUGCGUCUGAUACUGGAUGGCUUGAGGUUGGGAGAGGGAUGCGGAAUUCCAGGUGUAGCGGUGGAAUGCGUAGAUAUCUGGAGGAACACCGGUGGCGAAGGCGGCAUCCUGGACCAAUUCUGACACUGAGGAGCGAAAGCCAGGGGAGCAAACGGG
This 253-nucleotide ribosomal RNA is filed under the name uncultured bacterium. RNAcentral's name for it is "partial 16S ribosomal RNA". It matches the Rfam family "Bacterial small subunit ribosomal RNA", at positions 524 to 776 of the family's 1533-position model. The record is from RNAcentral.